RNAcentral lists this long non-coding RNA (379 nucleotides) under Bos taurus (domestic cattle). Its description in RNAcentral is "long non-coding RNA NONBTAT020599". Lineage: Eukaryota; Metazoa; Chordata; Mammalia; Artiodactyla; Bovidae. The record is from RNAcentral.
GAGGCAUGCGUCAAAAGUGUCCCCCACGUCCUCCCCAUGGCACACAAAAUUCCAAUAACCCUUUCAUAGUUAAAAGAGCCCUUAGCUUAUUUACAUGAUGAAAAAUGAGAAAUCUAUAGGCACUGUUAGAAGUAAAACAUACAUUAGAAACAGUCCUAAUAGAGGGAGGUAACAGAGACUAAAAUUCACAUUCAAUUGUGAAUGACAAGAUAUAGCGGGUCUUUUUCUGGGAGCAGGUUUUAACAGUGGCAGAGAGUACUGAAAAGGAACUUUAAAAGGCAAAAUUUAUGGGAAGAUGAGGCUGGAGACCCCUAAAGCAAAAGUGUUAUCUAAAUCUCGUUUUUGUUGAGAACCAAUUUCAAGAGACUCUAGUGGACUA